GGCAAAGUCAAAUUAAAUUCCAUCGUCAAAAAAGGCUGCCAGCUGGUGUUUGAGUUGAAACCUUUUUGCCAAGAAGGAAGGCGCUAUAUUCCUUGUCCAGGAAGAUGCUAUGGCUCUGCUCUCACAAGUGGAUUAAUGCUGUUAUCAUGAGAGUGGGUUAGUUGCCACUAGAAUGAGUUUCUGAUAAAAGGGAAGAAAUCUUAAAAGUUUGAGAAGAAAAUAUGGUAAAUAACUAAGAGAAAUCUCUGGUCAAUACUCAACAAGUCCUUCAGUCCAACAAUAUUCCAUACAUGAAAUCCUGCCAAAAACCAGGUGCUGUAUGAGUGAGCUGUGGCUGCCAUAGCAAGACAUCAUAGAUUGGAUGGCUUAAACAACAGAAAUUUAUUUUUUCACAGUUCUGGAGGCCAGAAAUCCCCAAUAAAGGUACUGACUGAUUAGGUGAGGGCUUUAUUUCUGCUGACAGACAACCACCUUCUUGUUGAGUUUUUAUACGGUCUUUUCUCUGUGGCUCAUAGAGAGAGACAGAGAGAGCUCUGGUGUUUUUUCCUCUUCUUAUUAGGACACCAGUCCUGUAUCACUAAGGCUCCAUCCUGAUGAUUCCACUUAGCCAGUAACUAUGGGAAUUAGGGCUUCAACAUACAAAUUUAGAGAAAUGUGAUUCCGUUCAUAACAGGUGCUUAACUAGAAUUCUGUAUGCACAUUGUUUUAUGAAAAAGCGACAUGAAACCUAAGGAUUUACUGUCUGUUGUAGAAUUUCUCAUAUAAAGAAGAACCUGAGGCAAGUACAGAAAUGUUACCUCCCUACCUUCUCAUUGGAAAGCAGCUCACAGAGAAUACAAUAGUUCUACCCACUAUGCCCGUAUAAUGCAAUGAUAUAUAUCCGUCACUAAAAUCUCCAUGCUUGUCUCACCCAACGUCUCAAACUAUGCUAUAACUAUUGGCGGAUCUCACAUAAUUGAGCAAUCUGAAUGAUGGAAUUGUACACUAGUUGAAUACAGGAGAUACUAUUUUACAUAGCACAGCAAAGCUCUCCCAUAACUCUACAAAUAGGGCUGAAAAAAUCAAAUACGUAAAAUGCAGCGUCAUGUUAUUGCAUGGUUAAUAAAAUUACUGACUCUUCUCAGCUAUCUGAGUGUUUUAGGUUCCUGAGAGCCAAGUCAGUCAUGUCAUUUCCGAAUUUUGGUGAUCAAAGGGUGGAUGAUCACAGUUUUACUCCAUUUCAACUUGAUUAUUAGUUACAUUAAAAAAAGGUUUUUCUAUGUGUGCUGUGAGACUGAUUCUCAUUUAGUAUGGUUUCAUUAAAAAUUAGGAUCCCUUUUUCCCUCUUGGUUAAGCCAGUAAGAUUGUAGAUUGUCAGACUCUGCCUUGUUCUUUUCCUGAAAUCCAAAGGUAAAAUGCAGUAACGAGAGUAGGGAUGCCAAUAAUGUGGAGGCAAGGAAAAAGCAGCUCCAGGGACAACAUCGGGAAGCGCGAUAGGAUGUUGGCUAAAAAGCUUGCUUUUUCACGUUAUGUCAGAUUUCACAUUCUAACUUCAUCAUUUCCUGGUUAAAGCAUCUUGAACAAAUCACUUUUUGAAUCACUUAGCACCAUGGCUUCUACAUUUCAAGCCCCAAAGGGUAGGAAUUAUUAUUAUUAAUGCUAUUACCAAAGAUGCUAACAAAGGAAAGGGUUUUCACUGUCCAACAUGGUUCAUGUUUAUGAAAUAUUUAUAAAUGGUGCUCACAUUCAAGAGCAAGCCUGUAGAGAUCUUUGGGCAAAUGCCUUGUUAAAGAGAAUUAAUCUAAAUAUUGUUUGUCAUUUGCUCAAGUACACUAAUUCUAUUAGUCUCAACUAUUCAAGGAUAAUCAUUGAAGGCCUAACUCCACAGGAACUGGAUUGAAGAUAAGAUUGGAGGACCACAAUUUCACCAGUACGUUACUUAGAAUAAGCAACUAGGUCCUCACAACAAUCCCUAUUUUCCAGAUGAGAGUGUUGAGGCUCAGAGAGGUAAGCAAAUUGUUUAACUUAUUCCAGCUCUCAAG
This 2021-nucleotide long non-coding RNA is filed under the name Homo sapiens (human). Its description in RNAcentral is "HSALNT0069902". Lineage: Eukaryota; Metazoa; Chordata; Mammalia; Primates; Hominidae. The record is from RNAcentral.